Molecule: ribosomal RNA, 256 nt
Filed under: uncultured prokaryote
Description: partial 16S ribosomal RNA
Rfam family: Bacterial small subunit ribosomal RNA
Source: RNAcentral
AAUACGGAGGGGGCCAGCGUUGCUCGGAAUCACUGGGCGUAAAGGGCUCGUAGGCGGUCUGAUAAGUCCUGUGUGAAAUCCCUUGGCUUAACCAAGGAACUGCGCCGGAUACUGUCGGACUCGAGGCCGGGAGAGGGAAGUGGAAUUCCCAGUGUAGCGGUGAAAUGCGUAGAUAUUGGGAGGAACACCGGUGGCGAAGGCGGCUUCCUGGACCGGUUCUGACGCUGAUGAGCGAAAGCUAGGGUAGCAAACAGGA